UCAGGCUAGAUAUCUACCAACUGAUAAGCUGAGGCUUGUUUACAUAUUGCUAAACGCUGGAAUUUACUUCAUACAGGUUUGUAUCUGGAUUUUUCUCUGGUUGUAUAACAAUGAAGCAUUGGAAACCGUAGGACGGAUCUUUAUUGCAGCUGUCUCAUUUGUUGCUGCGAUCAGUUUCUUGUUUUACGGACGAAGAUUGUUUGUAAUGCUGAGACAGUUCCCAAUUGAAUCUAAAGGAAGAAGUAAGAAGUUAUACGAGGUCUAUACUCCGAGGAAUGCGCCUUAUGCUAAUGAGGAAAUUGAUGUGGUUCGUGAGCAAUGGUCUAUACUCCGAGGAAUGCGCCUUAUUAUUGGCCUGAGCGCGCUUGAUCGAGUUGGUUUAGAUGUUAUAGAACAAUCUUUUAUAUUAAAAUGUAUGCGUAUGUUGAA
Long non-coding RNA from Spinacia oleracea (spinach), 429 nucleotides. RefSeq lists it as uncharacterized. The transcript is spliced from 5 exons. The record is from RefSeq and is a predicted model, not a curated record. NCBI's taxonomy places the organism in Eukaryota, Viridiplantae, Streptophyta, Magnoliopsida, Caryophyllales, Amaranthaceae.